RNAcentral lists this ribosomal RNA (424 nucleotides) under Verrucomicrobiota bacterium. RNAcentral's name for it is "Verrucomicrobia bacterium partial 16S ribosomal RNA". It matches the Rfam family "Bacterial small subunit ribosomal RNA", at positions 355 to 776 of the family's 1533-position model. The record is from RNAcentral. Lineage: Bacteria; Pseudomonadati; Verrucomicrobiota.
UGAGGAAUAUUGGUCAAUGGACGCAAGUCUGAACCAGCCAAGUAGCGUGCAGGAUGACGGCCCUAUGGGUUGUAAACUGCUUUUAUAUGGGGAUAAAGUGGGGAACGUGUUCCCUUUUGCAGGUACCAUAUGAAUAAGGACCGGCUAAUUCCGUGCCAGCAGCCGCGGUAAUACGGAAGGUUCGGGCGUUAUCCGGAUUUAUUGGGUUUAAAGGGAGCGUAGGCCGUUUGGUAAGCGUGUUGUGAAAUGUAGGAGCUCAACUUCUAGAUUGCAGCGCGAACUGUCAGACUUGAGUACGCACAACGUAGGCGGAAUUCAUGGUGUAGCGGUGAAAUGCUUAGAUAUCAUGAAGAACUCCGAUUGCGAAGGCAGCUUACGGGAGCGCGAAUGACGCUGAAGCUCGAAGGUACGGGUAUCGAACAGG